GAUGAACGCUGGCGGCGUGCCUAAUACAUGCAAGUCGAGCGAACAGGCGAGGAGCUUGCUCCUCUGACGUUAGCGGCGGACGGGUGAGUAACACGUGGAUAACCUACCUAUAAGACUGGGAUAACUUCGGGAAACCGGAGCUAAUACCGGAUAAUAUAUUGAACCGCAUGGUUCAAUAGUGAAAGACGGUUUUGCUGUCACUUAUAGAUGGAUCCGCGCCGCAUUAGCUAGUUGGUAAGGUAACGGCUUACCAAGGCAACGAUGCGUAGCCGACCCGAGAGGGUGAUCGGCCACACUGGAACUGAGACACGGUCCAGACUCCUACGGGAGGCAGCAGUAGGGAAUCUUCCGCAAUGGGCGAAAGCCUGACGGAGCAACGCCGCGUGAGUGAUGAAGGUCUUCGGAUCGUAAAACUCUGUUAUUAGGGAAGAACAAAUGUGUAAGUAACUAUGCACGUCUUGACGGUACCUAAUCAGAAAGCCACGGCUAACUACGUG
RNAcentral lists this ribosomal RNA (497 nucleotides) under uncultured bacterium. RNAcentral describes it as "partial 16S ribosomal RNA". It matches the Rfam family "Bacterial small subunit ribosomal RNA", at positions 28 to 507 of the family's 1533-position model. The record is from RNAcentral.